RNAcentral lists this ribosomal RNA (439 nucleotides) under uncultured bacterium. Its description in RNAcentral is "partial 16S ribosomal RNA". It matches the Rfam family "Bacterial small subunit ribosomal RNA", at positions 339 to 795 of the family's 1533-position model. The record is from RNAcentral.
CUACGGGGUGCUCCAGUGAGGAAUAUUGCACAAUGGGGGGAACCCUGAUGCAGCAACGCCGCGUGGAGGAUGACGCAUUUCGGUGUGUAAACUCCUUUUAUAUGUCAAGAAAAUGACGGUAGCAUAUGAAUAAGCACCGGCUAACUCCGUGCCAGCAGCCGCGGUAAUACGGAGGGUGCAAGCGUUACUCGGAAUCACUGGGCGUAAAGGACGCGUAGGCGGGUGGGAAAGUCAGGUGUGAAAUCCUACAGCUUAACUGUAGAACUGCACUUGAAACUUCUAAUCUAGAGUAUGGGAGGGGGAGAUGGAAUUAGUGGUGUAGGGGUAACAUCCGUAGAUAUCACUAGGAAUACCUAAAGCGAAGGCGAUCUCCUGGAACAUUACUGACGCUAAGGCGUGAAAGCGUGGGGAGCAAACAGGAUUAGAUACCCCCGUAGUC